AUGCACUUUGUUUUCAAGCGCAGGGAGAAGAGGAAGGGUUGGUAUUCUGAGCGGAAUCUCCGUGAUUUGCCAGAGGAAACAGCACAGACCAGACAGCAGAAGCGCCAGCAUUUCCAUGCAGCUGCCACGACAGGUGACCGGGCCGCUUUGCAGACACCCCGCUCGCUCGGGGGGUUUCACCGAGGUGGGGCGGGAAGGAAGGGGGAAGCAGGGAGGGAGACUGGAGGACGAGAAGGUGGGCAGAGGCAGGGAGGGAAAUCCACUCCAUCCAGACGCUGGGGAGGAAGAGGAGGAGCACAGCCCCGUCUCCCUGGGGAAACCGUUUUAAGGGAUUUUCUGUCUCCACAAUUAAGAAAAAAAAAAAAAAUGGCUCCAAGCCAAACGCCUCCUGAUUUACACACACACACGCACACCAAGCUCUAUUUCGCCCCAUUUUCGUGUACGCUGAAACAAAAGGCUAAAUCAGCAGCCAGCGCCGCCCGGAGUCCGGUGUCCGCCACCCUCUCCCACCGCGCCCUCGGGAGAGCCCACCCAAGGCGGCCCGCCCGCCGCCCCCCGCCCGAGCACCGGCCCUCCCGCCGAGCCCGGGCGCUGCCGCCCUCCCCGCCCGGCGCCGCCCGACGCGCCCCCCGCCCGCGCGCGCACAGGGGCCUGGCCGGAGCCGGGGGGGCCGGGCGCCCACCUCGAGGGACGGGCGCCCGGCCGGGCUCGGGAGGGCGCUCCCGGCGGCGCUGGGGCCCGUCGCCUCCUCGCCAGGGAGGGCGGCAGCGCCCGGCCCCGGGCGCCCGUGACAGCGGCCCCGCUCCCGCCUCACCUCCGAGCGCCCGUGGCGGCGGCCCCGCGCUCCUCCGCGCCUCUCCGCCUCCGCCUCCAGCAGCCCCGCGCCGCCGCCGCCGCCACCGCCGCCGCCGCCGCCGCCGCCUCCCCCCCGCGUCUCGGCCGAGUCUCCGCCUCCCUCAGCCGCCGCCGCCGCCGCCACCGCCGCCGCCGUUGGGCCCGGCUCCGCGCCACGUGACCGCGCCACGUGACCCGGCGCGGCUGGCGGGCGCCUCCCCGCCGGCCUCGCGCCCUCGCGCGCGGGGAACCCGCGUCCCGGCGGUUGACGCCCGCCCCCGGUUGAGCUGGGCGCCCCCCGUUCCGCCGCCCUCACCUGGCCUUCUGCCCCCGCCCGGCCGGCCACCUGCUCCCACUCACGAAACCCCGAACUCCACAGCCCCUGCACGCUCACACGAACACACUCACGCGUGCACACGAGCACACACCGGCGCUCACAAGCGCACGCACUCACACGAGCACACACCAGCCCUCACGCGCGUGCACACGCACAUCUCGCAGCCCUCGCCUUUCAGGGCUACUUCACAGCCUGUGACAACAAUGAAAAUAAUUCAAGCAGUCCGGUCUGGACCCACCUAA
This 1413-nucleotide long non-coding RNA is filed under the name Felis catus (domestic cat). RNAcentral's name for it is "lncRNA (ENSFCAG00000051692.1)". Lineage: Eukaryota; Metazoa; Chordata; Mammalia; Carnivora; Felidae. The record is from RNAcentral.